GCGGGCGUGGCGGAACUGGUAGACGCGCGGGACUCAAAAUCCCGUUCCCCCUAAAGGAGUGUCGGUUCGAUUCCGACCGCCCGCACCA
RNAcentral lists this transfer RNA (88 nucleotides) under Hyphomicrobiales bacterium. Its description in RNAcentral is "tRNA-Leu". It matches the Rfam family "tRNA". From Rfam's summary of the family: Transfer RNA (tRNA) molecules are approximately 80 nucleotides in length. RNAcentral also lists the same sequence under 3 other names. The record is from RNAcentral. Lineage: Bacteria; Pseudomonadati; Pseudomonadota; Alphaproteobacteria; Hyphomicrobiales.